This 774-nucleotide ribosomal RNA is filed under the name uncultured Neocallimastigales. Its description in RNAcentral is "partial large subunit ribosomal RNA". It matches the Rfam family "Eukaryotic large subunit ribosomal RNA", at positions 26 to 635 of the family's 3401-position model. The record is from RNAcentral. Lineage: Eukaryota; Fungi; Neocallimastigomycota; Neocallimastigomycetes; Neocallimastigales.
CGCAUCUGUGCAUGCAGCAUAUCAAUAAGCGGAGGAAAAGAAACUAACAAGGAUUCCCCUAGUAACGGCGAGUGAAGCGGGAAGAGCUCAAAUUUGAAGUCUUAAAGGGUUUCCCUUUACGAAUUGUAGUUUAAAGAAGUGUUUUCUGUUGAGGUUUUGGUAAAAGUUCUUUGGAAUAGGACAUCAUAGAGGGUGAGAAUCCCGUAUUUGACCUUUACUUUCAACUUUGUGAUACACUUUCAAAGAGUCGGAUUGUUUGGGAAUGCAGUCCAAAAUGGGUGGUAAAUUUCAUCUAAAGCUAAAUAUUGGCGAGAGACCGAUAGCGAACAAGUACCGUGAGGGAAAGAUGAAAAGAACUUUGAAAAGAGAGUUAAACAGUACGUGAAAUUGUCAAAAGGGAAGCGUUUGACACCAGUGUUGUUUUUCUGAAAAUCAAUUAAAGAACUGUUUAUGCUAAGCUGUUUAGACUUUAUCAGCUAACUGUUUAGUUUUGAGCUUUUCUUUAAUGCACUUUUCAGUUAACAAGUCAACAUCAAUUUCUUUUGCUGUAAAAAAGCUUGAGGAAGGUGGCUUGAGAUUCGUCUUAAGUGUUUAUAGCCUCUUGCCUAUGCAGUCGGAGAGAUUGAGGUCUGCAGCGUAGAUCCUUCGGGGCUAAAUGCAUUUGUGCUAAGUUAUAGCAUUUUAUAGACAACUUGUUGACUAUGAUUUGUCUUGUAGCUUACUCGCUUAUGUUAUUUUACCUACGCUUAGGAUGUUGAACGCGCACAGAGUCUC